RNAcentral lists this ribosomal RNA (497 nucleotides) under uncultured bacterium. Its description in RNAcentral is "partial 16S ribosomal RNA". It matches the Rfam family "Bacterial small subunit ribosomal RNA", at positions 28 to 507 of the family's 1533-position model. The record is from RNAcentral.
GAUGAACGCUGGCGGCGUGCCUAAUACAUGCAAGUCGAGCGAACGGACGAGAAGCUUGCUUUUCUGAUGUUAGCGGCGGACGGGUGAGUAACACGUGGAUAACCUACCUAUAAGACUGGGAUAACUUCGGGAAACCGGAGCUAAUACCGGAUAAUAUUUUGAACCGCAUGGUUCAAAAGUGAAAGACGGUCUUGCUGUCACUUAUAGAUGGAUCCGCGCUGCAUUAGCUAGUUGGUAAGGUAACGGCUUACCAAGGCAACGAUGCAUAGCCGACCUGAGAGGGUGAUCGGCCACACUGGAACUGAGACGCGGUCCAGACUCCUACGGGAGGCAGCAGUAGGGAAUCUUCCGCAAUGGGCGAAAGCCUGACGGAGCAACGCCGCGUGAGUGAUGAAGGUCUUCGGAUCGUAAAACUCUGUUAUUAGGGAAGAACAUAUGUGUAAGUAACUGUGCACAUCUUGACGGUACCUAAUCAGAAAGCCACGGCUAACUACGUG